GGGGAUGCAAUUGCAUCGACAAGAUUUAGCACUUUAAAAAAUGCAAGCCGUCUUUGAUUUACAGACGUAAAACAAAAAUCAAAAAAUAAAUGCUAAAAAAGCAUUGUUAGCUGAAAAGCUUGCGAUUCUUCGCAAGCUUGCCAGUUCUCAAAGACAGCCAGUUUUGGCUUAUGCCUAAGCCCUGUUUAGAGUGUCCUUAAUAUUCUCUCUUAGGUGGAAUCUUUUGGGCAUAAACCUUAGCCUAGGAAAUAAUAAGGAAGAUGGUUAGUUCCUUAUCGAAUUUAUAACCUUGGCUUUACUUAUGGAUGUUUAUUUUCAAAGAGUAAGGUGAUCAAAAAACAAUAAACUAAGCUUGUAGAAAUUUUUAAAAUGUUUUCUUGGACUCGGGAUCACUUCCCGACAUCUCCACAA
This 411-nucleotide transfer-messenger RNA is filed under the name Patescibacteria group. Its description in RNAcentral is "JACQHJ01 sp016199085 X1 Standard tmRNA". It matches the Rfam family "transfer-messenger RNA". Rfam says of the family: Bacterial tmRNA, also known as 10Sa RNA or SsrA, is named for its dual tRNA and mRNA-like properties. Its role is to liberate the mRNA from a stalled ribosome. The record is from RNAcentral.